RNAcentral lists this transfer RNA (73 nucleotides) under Phycisphaera mikurensis. Its description in RNAcentral is "tRNA-Gly". It matches the Rfam family "tRNA". Rfam says of the family: Transfer RNA (tRNA) molecules are approximately 80 nucleotides in length. Their secondary structure includes four short double-helical elements and three loops (D, anti-codon, and T loops). Further hydrogen bonds mediate the characteristic L-shaped molecular structure. tRNAs have two regions of fundamental functional importance: the anti-codon, which is responsible for specific mRNA codon recognition, and the 3' end, to which the tRNAs corresponding amino acid is attached (by aminoacyl-tRNA synthetases). tRNAs cope with the degeneracy of the genetic code in two manners: having more than one tRNA (with a specific anti-codon) for a particular amino acid; and 'wobble' base-pairing, i.e. permitting non-standard base-pairing at the 3rd anti-codon position. RNAcentral also lists the same sequence under 1 other name. Lineage: Bacteria; Pseudomonadati; Planctomycetota; Phycisphaerae; Phycisphaerales; Phycisphaeraceae. The record is from RNAcentral.
GCGGGUGUAGCUCAGUUGGUAGAGCAUUUGCUUCCCAAGCAAAAUGUCGACGGUUCGAGCCCGUUCACCCGCU